RNAcentral lists this ribosomal RNA (251 nucleotides) under uncultured prokaryote. RNAcentral's name for it is "partial 16S rRNA". It matches the Rfam family "Bacterial small subunit ribosomal RNA", at positions 525 to 775 of the family's 1533-position model. The record is from RNAcentral.
ACAGAGGGGGCAAGCGUUAUUCGGAAUUAUUGGGCGUAAAGGGCGCGUAGGCGGUGUUUUAAGUGAGAUGUGUAAUCCCCGAGCUUAACUUGGGAACUGCAUCUCAGACUGGAGCGCUAGAGUACUGGAGAGGGUGGUAGAAUUCCACGUGUAGCGGUGAAAUGCGUAGAGAUGUGGAGGAAUGCCGGUGAGGGUGGCGGCCGCCUGGACAGUAACUGACGCUGAUGCGCUUAAGUGUGGGUACCAAACAG